RNAcentral lists this ribosomal RNA (253 nucleotides) under uncultured bacterium. RNAcentral's name for it is "partial 16S ribosomal RNA". It matches the Rfam family "Bacterial small subunit ribosomal RNA", at positions 524 to 776 of the family's 1533-position model. The record is from RNAcentral.
UACGUAGGGUGCAAGCGUUGUCCGGAAUUAUUGGGCGUAAAGCGCGCGCAGGCGGCUUCGCGCGCCCGACGUGAAAGCCCCCGGCUUAACCGGGGAGAGUCGUUGGGGACGGCGGAGCUUGAGGGCGGGAGAGGUCGGUGGAAUUCCCGGUGUAGUGGUGAAAUGCGUAGAGAUCGGGAGGAACACCUGUGGCGAAGGCGGCCGACUGGGCCGACCCUGACGCUGAGGCGCGAAGGCGUGGGGAGCGAACGGG